Molecule: long non-coding RNA, 333 nt
Organism: Drosophila ficusphila
Lineage: Eukaryota; Metazoa; Arthropoda; Insecta; Diptera; Drosophilidae
Exons: 2
Source: RefSeq, a predicted model, not a curated record
UAUUGUGUGCACAACGGUCAUUGUGGCUCCCAAAAGACCUGAAAGAUGCUGCAUCCACAUGGUCUUUUCCAGUUGACCGUACCAACUAUGGGUUUUUGUAAAAUAUUAAUUAGGACGCGCAAAGCUGUCGAACAGCAUGAAAACUCUUUCGGAUGGCGUGGAUAUUGCCCAAGUUCAUAAACUCAAUUUCUGCACAGGGGUAGUACUCAAUGCACUCACAGCCGCCACCUCUGGCCCGAUUUGUAACCGCGGAUGUGUAGCUCCGAGCAUCCACAAUGAGGAUUUUCUGCGCAGGAAUAAAUAAAUAAUAGUAAAUAAAUGUGUUCAACAUUA